GCAGGAGCUGCCCUUCACAAGCGCUCUCUUUAUCCCCGUGAGAGAGGACUCUUGGUUCUUCCCCUCCAAAGUCAAAGACACAGACCACACUCAGUAUCUGGGUUGUGAUCUGUGCACAUGUCCAGGGCACAGAAAAGACGCAAGAUGCUAGAAGUGCUCUAUGAGCAUAUCAAAUCAGGAGGAUGACAAACGCUUCAUCGCCAUUCAAUGUAGAAUUGUUGACUUUGUCCAGAUAUUUUGUAGUCACUGAAUUAGCAAUACAGAUAACAGUGAUGGAACAGUUUAAUACGUCGGAUCUGAAGGAAACCAGUAGUUUGUAACAACAUAAGUGCUUGAAGCUUCUUGUUCAUGAAAUUUACUACAAAAUUCCGUCAAUAAGCAGUCUACUGUUUAAUGACCACUCAUGUUGCUCAGUUUGAUCUCUUAAUAGAAACGUAACAUAAAAUUUGAUAUCAUUGGAAGUAGUUUUGACAUUGUGAAGAGAAAAAGAGUGAAGUUUAGGGGCAAAGUUAGGGUUUCAUUUCAUUGUUCCGUUUUUGAGAGCAGUUCAGCGCUCAAAGUAAAGUGUGCUGCUCAUCUCUGUUGUGAGUCGGCACAGAGAAAAAUGUCCAGAGGGGAGACCGCAGCUAGCACUGCAAAAGUGGAUUGUCCAGAUGGAAAGGGUUCGGGUAUCGCCUCGGUGUCAAAAACAACAACGAUGGCCGGGGUGUCUCAGAGCUCCUCUACCCCCGUCGCAGACACUUCUGCGAGCGCGGGGUUCAGCUUCUUCUCAAAGACACGCCAGUUCGGAGCUUGGCUGACGAGAGCCACAGAAGGAGAUAAGAUGAACAUAUCUACCAAGGACAUCAACGCAGUCGCACCAACAACUUUCUAACAUCCUCGUUGGCCAGUUUACAGAUUUUUAAAGAAAUUUCUUUUGUUAUUAUUCAGCGUCGCAUUUCUAUAAAAAUCCAAAACUCGAGAAAUGUUGAAUGUCCCAAA
This is a long non-coding RNA of Aplysia californica (California sea hare), 981 nucleotides long. RefSeq lists it as uncharacterized. The transcript is spliced from 2 exons. NCBI's taxonomy places the organism in Eukaryota, Metazoa, Mollusca, Gastropoda, Aplysiida, Aplysiidae. The record is from RefSeq and is a predicted model, not a curated record.